UACGUAGGGGGCAAGCGUUGUCCGGAAUCAUUGGGCGUAAAGAGCGUGUAGGCGGCCCGAUAAGUCCGCCGUGAAAGUCCAGGGCUCAACCCUGGGAUGCCGGUGGAAACUGUCGGGCUAGAGUCCGGAAGAGGCGAGUGGAAUUCCUGGUGUAGCGGUGAAAUGCGCAGAUAUCAGGAGGAACACCGGUGGCGAAGGCGGGUCUCUGGGCCGAAAUUGACGCUGAGGAGCGAAAGCGUGGGGAGCAAACAGG
This 253-nucleotide ribosomal RNA is filed under the name uncultured bacterium. RNAcentral's name for it is "partial 16S ribosomal RNA". It matches the Rfam family "Bacterial small subunit ribosomal RNA", at positions 524 to 776 of the family's 1533-position model. The record is from RNAcentral.